This 579-nucleotide ribosomal RNA is filed under the name uncultured Actinomycetes bacterium. Its description in RNAcentral is "bacterial SSU rRNA". It matches the Rfam family "Bacterial small subunit ribosomal RNA", at positions 47 to 637 of the family's 1533-position model. The record is from RNAcentral. Lineage: Bacteria; Bacillati; Actinomycetota; Actinomycetes.
CUUAACACAUGCAAGUCGAACGAUGAAGCUGGAGCUUGCUCCGGUGGAUUAGUGGCGAACGGGUGAGUAACACGUGAGAAAUCUGCCCCUGACUCUGGGAUAACUGCUGGAAACUGUAGCUAAUACCGGAUACUUUCCCUGGUGGGCAUCCACUGGGGAAGAAAGAAUUUCGGUCAGGGAGGAUCUCGCGGCCUAUCAGCUAGUUGGUGAGGUAACGGCUCGCCAAGGCGACGACGGGUAACCGGCCUGAGAGGGUGACCGGUCACACUGGGACUGAGAUACGGCCCAGACUCCUACGGGAGGCAGCAGUGGGGAAUAUUGCACAAUGGGCGCAAGCCUGAUGCAGCAACGCCGCGUGAGGGAUGAAGGCCUUCGGGUUGUAAACCUCUUUUAGCAGGGAAGAAGCGAAAGUGACGGUACCUGCAGAAAAAGCACCGGCUAACUACGUGCCAGCAGCCGCGGUAAUACGUAGGGUGCAAGCGUUGUCCGGAAUUAUUGGGCGUAAAGAGCUCGUAGGCGGUUUGUCACGUCUGCUGUGAAAAUCCAAGGCUCAACCUUGGACUUGCAGUGGGUACGGGC